GACGAACGCUGGCGGCGUGCCUAACACAUGCAAGUCGAACGGUAAGGCCCUGGCUUUGUUCGCUGCUCGAGUGGCGAACGGGUGAGUAACACGUGAGUAACCUGCCCUUUACCUUGGGAUAACUUUAGGAAACUGUGGCUAAUACCGGAUAGGAGUUCCUGCUGCAUGGCGUUGGCUGGAAAGUUUCGGGGGAUGGGGUUGGACUUGCGGCUUAUUUGUUUGUUGGUGGGGUAGUGGUUUACCAAGGCCUUGACGGGUAGCCGGCCUGGGAGGGUGACAGGGCACAUUGGGACUGGGGUAGGGCCCGGACGCAUACGUGGGGCAGCGGUGGAAGAUAUUGCGCGAUAGGCGGAGGGCUGAUAGAACAACGCCGGAUGCUGGAUGACGGUUGUCGGGUUGUAACCAGCUUUAGCCUGUAACGUAGCCUGAGUGACGGUAACGUAUAAGAAAGCGACGGCUAACUACGUG
RNAcentral lists this ribosomal RNA (468 nucleotides) under uncultured bacterium. RNAcentral describes it as "partial 16S ribosomal RNA". It matches the Rfam family "Bacterial small subunit ribosomal RNA", at positions 28 to 507 of the family's 1533-position model. The record is from RNAcentral.